CUCUUAGAUGUUCUGGGCCGCACGCGCGCUACACUGAUGCAUUCAACAAGCCUAGCCUUGACCGAGAGGUCCGGGUAAUCUUUGAAACUGCAUCGUGAUGGGGCUAGAUUAUUGCAAUUAUUAAUCUUCAACGAGGAAUGCCUAGUAAGCGUGAUUCAUCAAAUCGCGUUGAUUACGUCCCUGCCCUUUGUACACACCGCCCGUCGCUCCUACCGAUUGAAUGUGUUGGUGAGGAGCUCGGAUUGGCAGCAGUUGGUGGUUCGCCACCGGCUAUUGCUGAGAAGUCCUCCAAACCGCCCCAUUUAGAGGAAGGAGAAGUCGUAACA
RNAcentral lists this ribosomal RNA (326 nucleotides) under uncultured eukaryote. RNAcentral's name for it is "partial 18S ribosomal RNA". It matches the Rfam family "Eukaryotic small subunit ribosomal RNA", at positions 1470 to 1796 of the family's 1831-position model. The record is from RNAcentral.